AAAAAGGGCUUCUGUCGUGAGUGGCACACGUAGGGCAGCUCGUUUGCUCUACGUGCGGAAUCGACAUCAAGAGAUUUCGGAAGCAUAAUUUUUGCUAACGGGGCAGCUGGUGAUCGUUGGUCCUGGCGCCCCC
Molecule: small nuclear RNA, 133 nt
Organism: Cervus hanglu yarkandensis (Yarkand deer)
Lineage: Eukaryota; Metazoa; Chordata; Mammalia; Artiodactyla; Cervidae
Source: Ensembl